GAGGCUAUAGCUCAAUGGGAGAGCGCACGGCUGAAGCCCGUGAUGUUGAGGGUUCGAAUCCCUCUAGCCUCA
RNAcentral lists this transfer RNA (72 nucleotides) under Pseudomonadota bacterium. Its description in RNAcentral is "tRNA-Phe". It matches the Rfam family "tRNA". Rfam says of the family: Transfer RNA (tRNA) molecules are approximately 80 nucleotides in length. Their secondary structure includes four short double-helical elements and three loops (D, anti-codon, and T loops). RNAcentral also lists the same sequence under 1 other name. The record is from RNAcentral. Lineage: Bacteria; Pseudomonadati; Pseudomonadota.